AUUGAACGCUGGCGGCAGGCCUAACACAUGCAAGUCGAACGGUACCCUCUAGCAGCUUGCUGCUUUGCUUACGAGUGGCGGACGGGUGAGUAAUGUCUGGGAAACUGCCUGAUGGAGGGUGAUAACUACUGGAAACGGUAGCUAAUACCGCAUAACGUCGCAAGACCAAAGAGGGGGACCUUCGGGCCUCUUGCCAUCGGAUGUGCCCAGAUGGGAUUAGCUAGUAGGUGGGGUAACGGCUCACCUAGACGACGAUCCCUAGCUGGUCUAAGAGGAUGACCAGCCACACUGGAACUGAGACACGGUCCAGACUCCUACGGGAGGCAGCAGUGGGGAAUAUUGCACAAUGGGCGAAAGCCUGAUGCAGCCAUGCCGCGUGUAUGAAGAAGGCCUUCGGGUUGUAAAGUACUUUCAGCGAGGAGGAAGGUGUUGAGGUUAAUAACCGCAGCAAUUGACGUUACUCGCAGAAGAAGCACCGGCUAACUCCGUGCCAGCCGCCGCAGUAA
This 506-nucleotide ribosomal RNA is filed under the name uncultured bacterium. Its description in RNAcentral is "partial 16S ribosomal RNA". It matches the Rfam family "Bacterial small subunit ribosomal RNA", at positions 30 to 523 of the family's 1533-position model. The record is from RNAcentral.